This 821-nucleotide ribosomal RNA is filed under the name uncultured marine bacterium. RNAcentral describes it as "bacterial SSU rRNA". It matches the Rfam family "Bacterial small subunit ribosomal RNA", at positions 36 to 904 of the family's 1533-position model. The record is from RNAcentral.
CUGGCGGCAGGCCUAACACAUGCAAGUCGAGCGCACUCUUCGGAGUGAGCGGCGGACGGGUUAGUAACGCGUGGGAACAUACCCUUUUCUACGGAAUAGCCUCGGGAAACUGAGAGUAAUACCGUAUACGCCCUUUUGGGGAAAGAUUUAUCGGUGAAGGAUUGGCCCGCGUUUGAUUAGAUAGUUGGUGGGGUAAUGGCCUACCAAGUCUACGAUCAAUAGCUGGUUUGAGAGGAUGAUCAGCAACACUGGGACUGAGACACGGCCCAGACUCCUACGGGAGGCAGCAGUGGGGAAUCUUAGACAAUGGGCGCAAGCCUGAUCUAGCCAUGCCGCGUGAGUGACGAAGGCCUUAGGGUCGUAAAGCUCUUUCGCCAGGGAUGAUAAUGACAGUACCUGGUAAAGAAACCCCGGCUAACUCCGUGCCAGCAGCCGCGGUAAUACGGAGGGGGUUAGCGUUGUUCGGAAUUACUGGGCGUAAAGCGUACGUAGGCGGAUUGGAAAGUAUGGGGUGAAAUCCCAGGGCUCAACCCUGGAACUGCCCUGUAAACUAUCAGUCUAGAGUUCGAGAGAGGUGAGUGGAAUUCCAAGUGUAGAGGUGAAAUUCGUAGAUAUUUGGAGGAACACCAGUGGCGAAAGCGGCUCACUGGCUCGAUACUGACGCUGAGGUACGAAAGUGUGGGGAGCAAACAGGAUUAGAUACCCUGGUAGUCCACACCGUAAACGAUGAAUGCCAGACGUCAGGGGGCUUGCCCUUCGGUGUCACACCUAACGGAUUAAGCAUUCCGCCUGGGGAGUACGGUCGCAAGAUUAAAACUCAA